RNAcentral lists this ribosomal RNA (304 nucleotides) under uncultured bacterium. Its description in RNAcentral is "partial 16S ribosomal RNA". It matches the Rfam family "Bacterial small subunit ribosomal RNA", at positions 506 to 807 of the family's 1533-position model. The record is from RNAcentral.
CAGCAGCAGCCACGGGAAUACGAAGGGUGCAAGCGUUACUCGGAAUUACUGGGCGUAAAGCGUGUGUAGGUGGUGGUUUAAGUCCGUUGUGAAAGCCCUGGGCUCAACCUGGGAAUUGCAGUGGAUACUGGGUCACUAGAGUGUGGUAGAGGAUAGUGAAAUUUCCGGUGUAGCAGUGAAAUGCGUAGAGAUCGGAAGGAACAUCUGUGGCGAAGGCGACUAUCUGGGCCAACACUGACACUGAGGCACGUAAGCGUGGGGAGCAAACAGGAUUAGAUACCCCCGUAGUCCCUGUCUCUUAUAC